AGUGAACGCUGGCGGUAGACCUAACACAUGCAAGUCGAACGGCAGCACAGUAAGAGCUUGCUCUUACGGGUGGCGAGUGGCGGACGGGUGAGGAAUACAUCGGAAUCUACUUUUUCGUGGGGGAUAACGUAGGGAAACUUACGCUAAUACCGCAUAAGACCUACGGGUGAAAGCAGGGGAUCUUCGGACCUUGCGCGAUUGAAUGAGCCGAUGUCGGAUUAGCUAGUUGGCGGGGUAAAGGCCCACCAAGGCGACGAUCCGUAGCUGGUCUGAGAGGAUGAUCAGCCACACUGGAACUGAGACACGGUCCAGACUCCUACGGGAGGCAGCAGUGGGGAAUAUUGGACAAUGGGCGCAAGCCUGAUCCAGCCAUACCGCGUGGGUGAAGAAGGCCUUCGGGUUGUAAAGCCCUUUUGUUGGGAAAGAAAAGCAGCAGGUUAAUACCCCGCUGUUCUGACGGUACCCAAAGAAUAAGCACCGGCUAACUUCGUG
Molecule: ribosomal RNA, 492 nt
Filed under: uncultured bacterium
Lineage: Bacteria
Description: partial 16S ribosomal RNA
Rfam family: Bacterial small subunit ribosomal RNA
Source: RNAcentral